This 497-nucleotide ribosomal RNA is filed under the name uncultured bacterium. RNAcentral's name for it is "bacterial SSU rRNA". It matches the Rfam family "Bacterial small subunit ribosomal RNA", at positions 32 to 507 of the family's 1533-position model. The record is from RNAcentral.
CAACGCUGGCGGCGUGCCUAAUACAUGCAAGUCGAGCGGAAUGAUGAAGAAGCUUGCUUCUUCUGAUUUUAGCGGCGGACGGGUGAGUAACACGUGGGCAACCUACCUUGUAGAUUGGGAUAACUCCGGGAAACCGGGGCUAAUACCGAAUAAUCCAUUUUGCUUCAUGGCGAGAUGUUGAAAGACGGUUUCGGCUGUCACUACAAGAUGGGCCCGCGGCGCAUUAGCUAGUUGGUAGGGUAAUGGCCUACCAAGGCGACGAUGCGUAGCCGACCUGAGAGGGUGAUCGGCCACACUGGGACUGAGACACGGCCCAGACUCCUACGGGAGGCAGCAGUAGGGAAUCUUCCACAAUGGACGAAAGUCUGAUGGAGCAACGCCGCGUGAGUGAAGAAGGUUUUCGGAUCGUAAAACUCUGUUGUAAGGGAAGAACACGUACGAGAGUAACUGCUCGUACCUUGACGGUACCUUAUUAGAAAGCCACGGCUAACUACGUG